This 782-nucleotide ribosomal RNA is filed under the name uncultured bacterium. RNAcentral's name for it is "bacterial SSU rRNA". It matches the Rfam family "Bacterial small subunit ribosomal RNA", at positions 443 to 1232 of the family's 1533-position model. The record is from RNAcentral.
GGUUGUAAACCUCUUUUCGGGGGGAUUGACGGUACCCAAGGAAUAAGCCUCGGCUAACUACGUGCCAGCAGCCGCGGAAAUACGAAGGAGGCGAACGUUAUUCGGAUUUACUGGGCGUAAAGUGAGCGUAGGCGGUUCCUUAAGUCAGAUGUGAAAUCUUCUGACUUAAUCAGAAGAGGCCAUCUGAUACUAAGGAGCUUGAGAGCAACAGAGGGAAAUGGAAUCCCCAGUGUAGCGGUGAAAUGCGUAGAUAUUGGGGAGAACACCAGUGGCGAAGGCGAUUUCCCAGGUUGUUUCUGACGCUGAGGCUCGAAAGCGUGGGGAGCGAAGCGGAUUAGAUACCCGCGUAGUCCACGCCCUAAACGGUGGACACUAGAUAUGGGAAGUAUCGACCCUUUCCGUGUCGAAGCUAACGCUUUAAGUGUCCCGCCUGGGGAGUACGGCCGCAAGGCUAAAACUCAAAGGAAUUGACGGGGGACCGCACAAGCAGCGGAGCGUGUGGUUUAAUUCGAUGCUACACGAAGAACCUUACCAGGGCUUGACAUGACAGAAGUAGGAAUUCGAAAGAAGGACGACCUGUAUCCAGUCAGGAGCUGUCACAGGUGCUGCAUGGCUGUCGUCAGCUCGUGCCGUGAGGUGUUGGGUUAAGUCCCGCAACGAGCGCAACCCUUGUCCUAUGUUAAAUUCUCAUGGGAGACUGCCCUGUACAGCAGGGAGGAAGGAAAGGAUGACGUCAAAGUCAGCAUGGCCUUUAUGCCCUGGGCUACACACACGCUACAAUG